CUGAGAAGUGAGAUCAAGUCAGCAAGGGCGUCCGCUGAGGACUACAGCUGCCUCUGAGCAAAUAACCCUCGGUGCCAUUUGGAGCAAGUCAUGUGGAACAGACCACUGCAUAUAAUUAAAAAAAAGACUCACGACAAGGAAUAUGUCAAAGGCUCUUUCAGACAGUGGUGACUGUGCUCGAAGUGUUACAAUGAAAGAUAAGGAAUUGUUUUAAGGUCACCUCUGCAGCCCAUGAUGAUUGAAAUCGGCCAACACCUGAAAUGUUGCGAGGAGGAAUCCAGGCUUUCUCAAGCGAUUAAUAAUGUCCGGGAGAUGUUGAUAAUUCAGCUGGUGUUGUGCAAUUUCGACAAUGCUGCCAGAUCUGCUGAGCUUUUCCAGUAACUUCUGUUUCUGUUUGUGAAGGAGAAAUUAGAAACAGGUGAUCAAAUGCUCGAUCAAUGAAAACUUCCAGGAAAUUUCUAAGGGGCCAGGUAAAGAGUGAGGAGGGCAGAUCUUAAGUCUUCAUUAGCCGUGACAGGAAUUGCAUCCAUGUUGUGGACACUUCUCCGCACCCCAUGCUAGCCAUCCAGCCAACUGAUCUAUCCAGUCUCCAAGCAACAUUAGCCUCAUCAUUAUUUUGAAAGCAAAGUGUCUCCCAUUAUCUCAUGUAAUCUGCAAAUGAUUUCAGGGAACCACUCCAAAGCUCGGUGACGGGCAUCUGAAUGGAUGUAAAUAUGUAGAUGUGUUGCCUUCAACAUUUUAUAAUGCAUAUAAGCAUACUAAGUAAGCUUUUUUAGAAAUGAGAUAUGUAUUGUAUGACACAGAUCUUUUAUCAGCUUCUAUCACCCUGGAGAACAGUAGAAUUUUAUUAAAGAAUAUCAUUGCCAAACAUUGGGCAGUAUUGUACAUUGAUGAAUAACCUCAUUUGGCGAUCAGAAGCUUAAAGCUUUAUAGAUGCAAAAUUACCAAUAUGGGAAUUAUUUUGUUUUUCUCUAAUACCUACAUCUGUCUCUGCAACUCAUUUUCCUGUGUAGGAAGAAUCUACAGCUAUGGUGUGUAGUGAGUAAAAAUGUAAGGGAAGAUUUUCUGUUUGAAUAUUUUAGGUUGGUAAGUCAGCAGCAAUCAUAUCAAUCUAUCAGCAGACUUCAUGAAUUUUAUAUAUCUUAUAAUUGCAAUAUUUGAAAUCACCAUUGGGAAAUUAGUUUGAAUUAUUUCUAAGUUAAUUUCCAAACAACUAACUGACCCAAACUGCCCUGGACAAAUUGAUCUGGGCGAUAGCACAUCAGCUGCAAAUACUGAAGAAUGUUUUCUCAAACCAAAUAAGCUCUCAAACUAUUUUGGAGGAGUUUUAUUUUUGCAAAUUUAUUUGGAGAAUAGAAAGAAGCUAGUGUGAAAUAAGCCAGCAAUGUGUUAACCCUUGUUGGAUGCUGUCACAAAUAAUCCUACGAUAGCUUCUGAUUCAAAUGCCCUUAAUCCACUUUAGAUAAACAGAGGGUAACUUGGCAGCCAACUGAGCAAUAUACCACAUUUGAGGUAUUUCUUUCUGAUGAAUGUGAUUUCAUCUAAAUCCCUAACAGAUUUAAAUAAAAACAUUGAGUGCUGGAUAUACUUACAGAUCUGCCAACUUCUGCUGAGAGAGGAAAUAUGUUAAUAUUUCAGUUUGAGGUUUCAUCUGCCUGUUUCUCUCAACAUAGGUGUUGCCAAUUCUGCUGAGUAUUUCCAGCAUUUUUAGCUUCUAUUUCAGAUAUCCGGUAUAAGUAAUACUUCACUUUUCCAAAACAAUUCUAGUCUGAUCAAUCAAGUCAGUUUAGUUUGUGUAACUGAAGUCAUCAUCACAAGGCAUUCAUCAAUAUUCCUGCAGAAUGGAUUUUAUCCGUUCAUGUUGUUGUUUGAGAGUCAUCCUGGUUGAAUUGAAGACCGGAGGUUUGUAGGGUCCUAUAGAAUGUAGGAGGUCUUGUGCAGUGUGCAGUGUCUGGCCCAGAGACAGGGACACUGUCAGUUGGUGUUCAGACCAGGACUUGAUUGUCAAGCAAGGUGAAUUCAUAAUAUCAGCCAACCUGAAAGCCCUGACAACACACGUUUCAAUGGCAGGCAGUAAGGAUAGGAGAGAUUCCUGGUCACGUGUGAUGGAAAGAACAUUAGAACUUCAACCAUCACUGUUGAUAGCUCUGGCCUACAAUCUGAAAGUGAAUGUGUAUGUUGCUGUAGCAAUUUGUACCUACUGAGUGAACUGUAACACACCACAUGGAUGUUGUCCAA
Long non-coding RNA from Stegostoma tigrinum, 2238 nucleotides. RefSeq lists it as uncharacterized. The record is from RefSeq and is a predicted model, not a curated record. Lineage: Eukaryota; Metazoa; Chordata; Chondrichthyes; Orectolobiformes; Stegostomatidae. The transcript is spliced from 4 exons.